RNAcentral lists this ribosomal RNA (1474 nucleotides) under Aphanizomenon flos-aquae CCAP 1401/7. RNAcentral's name for it is "16S ribosomal RNA". It matches the Rfam family "Bacterial small subunit ribosomal RNA". The record is from RNAcentral. Lineage: Bacteria; Bacillati; Cyanobacteriota; Cyanophyceae; Nostocales; Aphanizomenonaceae.
UGAUCCUGGCUCAGGAUNAACGCUGGCGGUAUGCUUAACACAUGCAAGUCGAACGGUCUUUUAGGAGACAGUGGCGGACGGGUGAGUAACGCGUAAGAAUCUACCUUCAGGUUGGGGACAACCACUGGAAACGGUGGCUAAUACCGAAUGUGCCGAGAGGUGAAAGGCUUGCUGCCUGAAGAAGAGCUUGCGUCUGAUUAGCUAGUUGGUAGUGUAAGAGACUACCAAGGCGACGAUCAGUAGCUGGUCUGAGAGGAUGAUCAGCCACACUGGGACUGAGACACGGCCCAGACUCCUACGGGAGGCAGCAGUGGGGAAUUUUCCGCAAUGGGCGAAAGCCUGACGGAGCAAUACCGCGUGAGGGAGGAAGGCUCUUGGGUUGUAAACCUCUUUUCUCAGGGAAGAACAGAAUGACGGUACCUGAGGAAUAAGCAUCGGCUAACUCCGUGCCAGCAGCCGCGGUAAUACGGAGGAUGCAAGCGUUAUCCGGAAUGAUUGGGCGUAAAGGGUCCGCAGGUGGCAUUGUAAGUCUGCUGUUAAAGAGUUUGGCUCAACCAAAUAAGAGCAGUGGAAACUACAAAGCUAGAGUGUGGUCGGGGCAGAGGGAAUUCCUGGUGUAGCGGUGAAAUGCGUAGAUAUCAGGAAGAACACCAGUGGCGAAGGCGCUCUGCUAGGCCGAGACUGACACUGAGGGACGAAAGCUAGGGGAGCGAAUGGGAUUAGAUACCCCAGUAGUCCUAGCCGUAAACGAUGGAUACUAGGCGUAGCUCGUAUCGACCCGAGCUGUGCCGGAGCUAACGCGUUAAGUAUCCCGCCUGGGGAGUACGCAGGCAACUGUGAAACUCAAAGGAAUUGACGGGGGCCCGCACAAGCGGUGGAGUAUGUGGUUUAAUUCGAUGCAACGCGAAGAACCUUACCAAGGCUUGACAUGUCACGAAUCCUAUUGAAAGAUGGGAGUGCCUUCGGGAGCGUGAACACAGGUGGUGCAUGGCUGUCGUCAGCUCGUGUCGUGAGAUGUUGGGUUAAGUCCCGCAACGAGCGCAACCCUCGUUUUUAGUUGCCAGCAUUAAGAUGGGCACUCUAGAGAGACUGCCGGUGACAAACCGGAGGAAGGUGGGGAUGACGUCAAGUCAGCAUGCCCCUUACGUCUUGGGCUACACACGUACUACAAUGCUCCGGACAAAGGGCAGCUACACAGCGAUGUGAUGCGAAUCUCAUAAACCGGAGCUCAGUUCAGAUCGAAGGCUGCAACUCGCCUUCGUGAAGGAGGAAUCGCUAGUAAUUGCAGGUCAGCAUACUGCAGUGAAUUCGUUCCCGGGCCUUGUACACACCGCCCGUCACACCAUGGAAGUUGGUCACGCCCGAAGUCGUUACCCCAACCUAUUGGAGGGGGAUGCCUAAGGUAGGACUGAUGACUGGGGUGAAGUCGUAACAAGGUAGCCGUACCGGAAGGUGUGGCUGGAUCACCUCCUUU